Non-coding RNA from Termitomyces sp. T32_za158, 91 nucleotides. Lineage: Eukaryota; Fungi; Basidiomycota; Agaricomycetes; Agaricales; Lyophyllaceae. The record is from the annotation of a GenBank genome assembly.
ACACCGAUGGUGAAGCGGUUAUCAUGCUUGCCUUCCAUUGUUUCAUAGAAUUGGUUAGCAAGCGGCAGGGGUUCGACUCCCCUUCGGUGUA